UUAGAGUUUGAUCCUGGCUCAGGAUGAACGCUAGCGACAGGCUUAACACAUGCAAGUCGAGGGGCAGCGGGGCGGCAGGCUUGCCUGCCGUUGCCGGCGACCGGCGCACGGGUGAGUAACACGUAUGCAACCUGCCCGUGGCAGGGGGAUAAGCGGGGGAAACCCCGUCUAAUACCGCGUAACGCGGCCUUGGGGCAUCCCCGGGCCGCCAAAGGGAGCAAUCCCGGCCACGGAUGGGCAUGCGGCGCAUUAGCUAGUCGGCGGGGUAACGGCCCACCGAGGCGACGAUGCGUAGGGGUUCUGAGAGGAAGGCCCCCCACACUGGUACUGAGACACGGACCAGACUCCUACGGGAGGCAGCAGUGAGGAAUAUUGGUCAAUGGGCGCGAGCCUGAACCAGCCAAGUCGCGUGAGGGAAGACGGCCCUACGGGUUGUAAACCUCUUUUGCCGGGGAGCAACGGGCGCCACGUGUGGCGCCACUGAGAGUACCCGGAGAAAAAGCAUCGGCUAACUCCGUGCCAGCAGCCGCGGUAAUACGGAGGAUGCGAGCGUUAUCCGGAUUUAUUGGGUUUAAAGGGUGCGUAGGCGGAGCGUUAAGUCAGUGGUCAAAUUGAGGGGCUCAACCCCUUCCCGCCAUUGAAACUGGCGCUCUUGAGUGGAAGAGAAGUAUGCGGAAUGCGUGGUGUAGCGGUGAAAUGCAUAGAUAUCACGCAGAACCCCGAUUGCGAAGGCAGCAUGCCGGCUUCCUACUGACGCUGAAGCACGAAAGCGUGGGGAUCGAACAGGAUUAGAUACCCUGGUAGUCCACGCGGUAAACGAUGAGCGCUAGGUGUCCGGGGGGAAUGGCCCCUGGGUGCCACAGCGAAAGAGUUAAGCGCUCCACCUGGGGAGUACGCCGGCAACGGUGAAACUCAAAGGAAUUGACGGGGGCCCGCACAAGCGGUGGAGUAUGUGGUUUAAUUUGAAGCAACGCGAAGAACCUUACCAGGCCUUGACAUAGGGUGCGAAGCUAUGGAGACAUAGUGGAGGUAAACAUCCAUACAGGUGGUGCAUGGUUGUCGUCAGCUCGUGUCGUGAGAUGUUCAGUUAAGUCUGGCAACGAGCGCAACCCUCGUGAUGUGUUACCAAUAUCGAGUUAGGGACUCACAUCAGACUGCCGGUGAGAAACCGGAGGAAGGCGGGGAGGACGUCAAAUCAUCAUGCCCCUUAUGGCCUGGGUACACACGUACUACAAUGGCGGCGACAGGGGGCAGCGAGCCUGCGAAGGCAAGCGAAUCCCCAAAAAGCCGUCCCAGUUCGGAUUGGAGUGUGCAACCCGACUCCACGAAGUUGGAAUCGCUAGUAAUCGCGGAUCAGCAUGCCGCGGUGAAUACGUUCUCGGGCCUUGUACACACCGCCCGUCAAG
This 1406-nucleotide ribosomal RNA is filed under the name uncultured bacterium. RNAcentral's name for it is "bacterial SSU rRNA". It matches the Rfam family "Bacterial small subunit ribosomal RNA". The record is from RNAcentral.